GAGAGAGAAGGAAAGCGAGAGAGAGAGAGAGAGAGAGAAGGAAAGCGAGAGAGAGAGAGAGAGAGAAAGCAAGAGAGAGCGAGAGAAGGAAAGCGAGUGAGAGAGAGAGAGAGAAGGAAAGCGAGAGGGCAGGAGGGAGAGGGAAAGCGAGAGGGCAGGAGGGAAAGGGAAAGCGAGAGAAGGAAAGUGAGAGGGCAGGAGGGAGAGAGGGAGCGGGAGAAGGAAAGCGAGAGGGCAGGAGGGAGAGAGAGCGAGAGAAGGAAGCGAGAGGGCAGGAGGAAGAGAGAAAGCGAGAGAAGGAAAGUGAGAGGGCAGGAGGGAAGAGAAAGAGAGCGAGAGAAGGAAGCGAGAGGGAGGGAGAGGGUAGAGUGGACUUAUGGCUCUGGCAAAUUUGGGGCCUUUUUUCAGAGCCGUUCAGAGAGUCAAAUUAUUGGACUGACAGCCCAUCCCUUUGGUGAAGGUGAAAAUAAGAAAAUGAAAAGGGCCAUGUGCUGAGAGAGGGAUGCAGCUUGAACCCCAACAUCUUCAACAUACUGUCACGAAUCCCGCCGAAGAUGGUGCCUCUUCCUGUUCGGGUGGCGCUCGGCGGUCGUCGUCGCCGGCCUACUAGCUGCCACCGAUCCCCUUUUCUGUUUCAUUUAGUUGUGUCUGAUUAGUUGCACCUGUUUUGUGUUUAGGUUGUGAUUGUGGGCUAUAUGAAACCCAGUAAGCCCGCUGGCUUUUGUGCUUGUUUCUCUGUUCGUUUUGUGGAUGUGAUAUUUUCUGUAUUUCUCCGGACUGUUUGUGUCCUGUUUUUGGGCCGGUCAUUGUAUGCGCCUGGUGUUUUGGCGUGACCUACUUUUUCCCAGAAUAAAUACAGUUGUCCUUUA
This is a long non-coding RNA of Oncorhynchus nerka (sockeye salmon), 869 nucleotides long. RefSeq lists it as uncharacterized. The transcript has 2 exons. NCBI's taxonomy places the organism in Eukaryota, Metazoa, Chordata, Actinopteri, Salmoniformes, Salmonidae. The record is from RefSeq and is a predicted model, not a curated record.